This 1346-nucleotide ribosomal RNA is filed under the name uncultured bacterium. RNAcentral describes it as "bacterial SSU rRNA". It matches the Rfam family "Bacterial small subunit ribosomal RNA", at positions 28 to 1381 of the family's 1533-position model. The record is from RNAcentral.
GACGAACGCUGGCGGCGUGCUUAACACAUGCAAGUCGAACGGAAAGGCCCUGCUUUUGUGGGGUGCUCGAGUGGCGAACGGGUGAGUAACACGUGAGUAACCUGCCCUUGACUUUGGGAUAACUUCAGGAAACUGGGGCUAAUACCGGAUAGGAGCUCCUGCUGCAUGGUGGGGGUUGGAAAGUUUCGGCGGUUGGGGAUGGACUCGCGGCUUAUCAGCUUGUUGGUGGGGUAGUGGCUUACCAAGGCUUUGACGGGUAGCCGGCCUGAGAGGGUGACCGGCCACAUUGGGACUGAGAUACGGCCCAGACUCCUACGGGAGGCAGCAGUGGGGAAUAUUGCACAAUGGGCGGAAGCCUGAUGCAGCAACGCCGCGUGCGGGAUGACGGCCUUCGGGUUGUAAACCGCUUUCGCCUGUGACGAAGCGUGAGUGACGGUAAUGGGUAAAGAAGCACCGGCUAACUACGUGCCAGCAGCCGCGGUGAUACGUAGGGUGCGAGCGUUGUCCGGAUUUAUUGGGCGUAAAGGGCUCGUAGGUGGUUGAUCGCGUCGGAAGUGUAAUCUUGGGGCUUAACCCUGAGCGUGCUUUCGAUACGGGUUGACUUGAGGAAGGUAGGGGAGAAUGGAAUUCCUGGUGGAGCGGUGGAAUGCGCAGAUAUCAGGAGGAACACCAGUGGCGAAGGCGGUUCUCUGGGCCUUUCCUGACGCUGAGGAGCGAAAGCGUGGGGAGCGAACAGGCUUAGAUACCCUGGUAGUCCACGCUGUAAACGGUGGGUACUAGGUGUGGGGUCCAUUCCACGGGUUCCGUGCCGUAGCUAACGCUUUAAGUACCCCGCCUGGGGAGUACGGCCGCAAGGCUAAAACUCAAAGGAAUUGACGGGGCCCCGCACAAGCGGCGGAGCAUGCGGAUUAAUUCGAUGCAACGCGUAGAACCUUACCUGGGUUUGACAUGGAUCGGGAGCGCUCAGAGAUGGGUGUGCCUCUUUUGGGGUCGGUUCACAGGUGGUGCAUGGCUGUCGUCAGCUCGUGUCGUGAGAUGUUGGGUUAAGUCCCGCAACGAGCGCAACCCUUGUUCACUGUUGCCAGCACGUUAUGGUGGGGACUCAGUGGAGACCGCCGGGGUCAACUCGGAGGAGGGUGGGGAUGACGUCAAGUCAUCAUGCCCCUUAUGUCCAGGGCUUCACGCAUGCUACAAUGGCUGGUACAGAGAGUGGCGAGCCUGUGAGGGUGAGCGAAUCUCGGAAAGCCGGUCUCAGUUCGGAUUGGGGUCUGCAACUCGACCUCAUGAAGUCGGAGUCGCUAGUAAUCGCAGAUCAGCAACGCUGCGGUGAAUACGUUCCCGGGGCU